This 534-nucleotide unclassified non-coding RNA is filed under the name Hevea brasiliensis (rubber tree). Lineage: Eukaryota; Viridiplantae; Streptophyta; Magnoliopsida; Malpighiales; Euphorbiaceae. The record is from RNAcentral.
GUGAGAUUUCUAAGAUCCAGAAACCCAAUAAUAUUAAAUAUAAACACUACUCCCAAUGAGCAUACCGGUACAACUUCUCGAUGAAUGUGCCAAGAAGGUUUCUCUUAGCAUGAUUGACCAGAUAAUGCAUGAUAGCUUUUGGAACCAAAUCCUGUAUAUUCCUCCUCACAAUAUCAUAAUAAGAUGCUAUGAGCAGUUUCGUCACUAUGAUCUCGACUUGAUACUCUGUUUCAGUCUCUCCAGGCCUCAAGACCAGCGGUGGAUUUUUCAAUUGUAUAACAGGGGGUGCCAGAGUAAUAUCAUGCACCACCUCAGCAGCAUGUCUCUUAGAUGAAUUCCCUACUGAUGAUCCCCGGAUUCCAAAUAGGGAAGUAACACCCCAUGUCCUUGUGGUUGAGGUACCUAAAAUACAUUUUGUUGUAGCUUUACAUGUUACUAUAACAGAAGGAAAAGGUAGAAGUCACAUACUAGUGUUCGAAUAAACAAUUAUUUUAAGGCCAAGAUCUUGGUAAAAUAUCCCAGUCUCUGAAUUUA